Molecule: long non-coding RNA, 8584 nt
Filed under: Medicago truncatula (barrel medic)
Lineage: Eukaryota; Viridiplantae; Streptophyta; Magnoliopsida; Fabales; Fabaceae
Description: long non-coding RNA (MTRU_LNC005551)
Source: RNAcentral
AACAAUAAACAUUUUAAUUCCACUCCUCUAUAUAAAUGAGUUAUGCCACCCCCUCCUUUCAUCAAAACACAUUAACAUAUCACAAUUUAAUUUCAUCAUAUCAUAUCAUAUAGUUUGUGAGAAUUAAUAAACUCCUUCAAAGCACAACAACAGUUCAUAGAUUGAUAUUAGUUGAAUCAAACAAACAUACAUGGCUUUCUCUUAUAGUAGAAUAAUCCUCUUCAAAGUUCUUCUCUAUGUACUAAUCAUCUUCAACAUAUUCGUUACACCUCAAUCAGGAGGAGUAGAUUGCAGGCCAUUGUCAUUGAAUUAUUAUCAAUGGUCUUGGGAUCAUGGACUUAUUUUGCAAUCACUUCCAAAUGGUAAUGCACCUGGAUCAGGAGGAGGAGAUCCUACUCAUCCCUAAUUAAGCUGCACAUAUAUGCAUUCAAAUUAAUUGGAACUUAAUUAGGAAGCUUUACAAAGAAGAAACUAUUUUUGAUUUUUUUAUAUAGUUCUACAACGAUAUAGUAAUGACAUUAACUCUCGUUGUUGAAGUUCCACGUCUCAGUGGUUUGUAUCAAUUUUUUAAUUUUUUUUUAGUUGCAUGUCCCACAUGCAAUUUUUUUAUAUGGUAUUCCGUAUAAUCUUGUAUUCAUAUUCUAUUUCAAUCACCUCACAGAAUAUAUCUGAAAAAAUUAGAUAUAUUCGUAUAGACUGUAGUAUGUAAAUUUUGACUAAAAUCUAAAUAAACAACUCUCUUUUUUAAUGGUUUGCAUUAGUUUACCAAUACCACUUGGCGCCUAAUAAGUGCGACAAACACUUAUCUUGUACAUAGUUUGAUGUAUGCAAAUAUUUUCCUUUGCAUGCUAUCUACGUGUCCUUCAUAUUUUAAUUGAUCUGUGAUUUUAUAAACAUUAUUUUAGGAUUAAUGGGACAAUGGGGCAUUUCGAUUGAUUAGAGAAGAGAUGAGCUAUAGUUUGAAAACAAAUUUUUAAUCGUCGUGGGACUAAAUUGAUUUAUUUAUGGACUACUAAUAGAAGCCUUAACAUGAAGUUUAAGAGAUUAAAUGUGGGAUGGAAUAAUAGUUUAUAGACCUUUAAGAUAAUUAUAUUAGUUUAAAGACUAAACUGAUGAAAGAGUGAUAGUUUAGAAAUUAAACUGACCGUUUAUAAUAGUUUAGAGACCUUUUAGCUGUUAGAUUUGGUACCUUGUUUAUGGCAUGUGUGACUCAAAGGUAGCUCAUACCUAAGAUUUGAAGAUAAAUUCGAGUGUGUUUUCAGAAAACACAAAACACGCGCUAUUGUAAGUGUUUAAACUUUAAACUAGAGGGGAAUGGAUUCUAUCAUAUUGAAUUGAACUAAAACACUAGGGUUUAAAAUAACAUUAGUGAGUAAAAUUUGAGAUAAAAAACAUGAAAUUCAUGAUAACUCUUCUAUCAGUAAGCUUAGCGAGGGAAUAAAAGUAUGUAUAUAAUCAAAAUCACGAAUGAGACAAAAUUGAUUGGCCAGAUCUGAAUAUAAAACCUUUUUUCUCCCUUCUAUCUUGUAUGGAUUUGUUUGCCAAAUUAGUUAAAAGAAAUAACAUUUGUUCAACUAUAUUUGAGAUAAUUUUUGGGACAAUAUUUUCUGCCCUCUUCUUUGGGGACAAAAAUAAUAGAUAGAGAAAAGGGAGAUAGAGAUAGAAUAAAAAUACAAUAUGAAUAUAAAAGAAAAAAUAUAUUGUUCCAAAAUAAUCGUGUAAAUAUCACGUUUCAUCAUAUAAACUGUCCACAAAUACACAAUGAGGAAUGUUAUUAUAAUCCACCACAAAUUUCCUAUCAUAUAGUAGAUUUAAUCUCGAAAUAAAUUUAUUGAAGAGCGAUUUACAAGAGAAAACAAUCACUUUUGAAGGAUCAUUUCCUUUCAAAAUCAAUAUUUAUGCAUCAUUCAAAGAGUCAUUUAUUUAGAUUUUAGUCAAAAUUUACGUACUACAACCUAUAUGAAUAUAUUUCAGUUUUUUCAGAUAUAUUAUGUAAGGUGAUUGAAAUUGAAUGUGAAUACAAGAAUAUAAGGAGUACCAUAUAAAUUUUUUGCAUGUGAGGCAUGCAACUAAAAAAAUUAAAAAAUUGAUGCAACCCACUGACACGUGGAACUUCAACAACGAUUGUUAAUGUUAUUACUACUUGGAUCGAACUAUAUAAAAAAAAAAAAAAAACUAAUUUCUUAUUUGUAAAGCUUCCUAAGUUUCAAUUAAUUUGAAGGCAUAUAUGUGCAGCUUAAUUAGGGAUGAGUAGGAUCUCCUCCUCUUGAUCCAGGUGCUUUACCAUUUGGAAGUGAUUGCAAAAUAAGUCCAUGAUCCCAAGACCAUUGAUAAUAAUUCAAUGACAAUGGCCUGCAAUCUACUCCUCCUGAUUGAGGUGUAACGAAUAUGUUGAAGAUGAUUAGUACAUAGAGAAGAACUUUGAAGAGGAUUAUUCUACUAUAAGAGAAAGCCAUGUAUGUUUGUUUGAUUCAACUAAUAUCAAUCUAUGAACUGUUGUUGUGCUUUGAAGGAGUUUAUUAAUUCUCACAAACUAUAUGAUAUGAUAUGAUGAAAUUAAAUUGUGAUAUGUUAAUGUGUUUUGAUGGAAGGAGGGGUGGCAACUCAUAUAUAUAGGGAGUGGAAUUUGAAGUGUUUAUUGUUUUACUUUGACUUUGAAUAUUUGAAUAUCAAUACCUUGGACUCCAAACACACCCAUAUUUACGCGCGACCCAUAACACUAAAACACGACCAUGUCAAAAAAUUGAACAAGAAAGAGUAAGCAGUGUAAUAUGUUUCUAUGUUAAUUAAUUCAGAUAUAGUUACUAGUAUUUAAUUAAAUUUAAAUUCUUAGAUUAUUUAUUGAUAAUAGUUAUAAUUACAAGGUAAAAAAAAAUGACAUACAGCCAAAAAUUUAAGAAAAUGUCAAAUUACUUGACUUUGUCAAAUUGAGUGGAUGGAAGGUUCAAGGUUCUUUUAUCCGAGUGCAACAGUUUUACCAAAUUAAAUUAUCGAUCUAUUAUAGUGACAAAAUUAUUUACCAAAAUGGGGUAAGUUGUAUUACGGAGAUAAUUAUCGAUAUAUACAAGCUUGCUUCCAUUGUUCAUAAACCCUUUUAAAACAAUUUUGUAGAAACAAUAAUGUAUUUUAAGAAGCUCUUUGAGAAUGACCAUAUUCUGAAGAUCGAAAGCCAACAACAUAAAACUAACUUUGUUACAAUAUUAUAAUAUACCUUUGCUUUAUUAUUCUAAAUUGAAUAUUUUGUAGAUGAUGAUUAUGAUUGUAUAUAGUUCUCACCAAUGUGUUAGGUUUUGCUAUUGUAUCUUCAGAGAGGACCCUUGGGACUAUUGUUCCAGUUUUAUUUUGGUUUGGUUAAUAGUUUAGUUCACCAAUAUCACUUGGCACCUAGUAAGGGCCACAAACAUUUAUCUUGUACAUAUUUUGAUGCACGUAAACAUUUUCCUCUCCGUGAUAUCUUGGUGUCCUUCAUAUUUUAAUGAGUAAAUUACACUCCCCUCUCCUUAAAGAUGCUUGAAUUACACUCUCCUCCCCUCUUAAGUUAAAAUAUACACUUUACUCCAAUUUCUUUUUUUUUUUUUUAUGUUAAAAUUUAUACUCCCAUCCCUUAUAAGAUGCUUGAAUAACAAACUUCUCCCUUAAUAAUUAAAUAUGCACUACACUUUAAUCUAUUUGAACAUAAAUAAAUAUUCUUAUAAUAUAUAUUAAUUUUGAAUCACCAUUUAAGAAAAAUUAAUUCAUUUCUUUAUAGUUUAAAUGUAAAUGAUAAUUAAAUUUAAAUAUAUUGUUAUUGAUUUUAUAAAUUAGAGUAUAAAAUUAACUUUUAAAUAAUCAUGCUUUAAUGAUUUUAGUAAUUUUUCACAUAUUUUAAUUUUGUUUUGGGUUGUUUCAUAUUUUAUAAUAGGGUUUAAAACUACAUGUUAAUGAAAUUGUGAAUAAAUAAUAGCGAAAAAUAUGUAUUCAAUUUUUUAUUAUAUUAAAAUAGACCCGCAAUACUAUUUUUUUUUUUAAGUGUGUUAAAUUAUUAUUUUUUGCUAGAUUAUUAGAAAUAAUAAAAAUGAAUAUUGAGGGAGUAAAGUGUAGAUUUUAACAUAAGAGGGGAGGGGGAUGUAAUUCAACCUUCUCUUAGGAGAGGAGAGUGAAAUUUUUUCUAAUAUGUUUUGAAAAAGAGGGGAGGGUAGUGUAUAUUUUAACUUAAGAGGGGAGGGGAGUGUAAUUCAAGCAUCUUUGAGGAGAGGGGAGUGUAACUUACUCUAUUUUAAUUUAUCUGUGAUUUUAUAAACAUUAUUUUAUGAUUAGUUAUAUAGGUUUGACCAAUGGAACAUUGGAAAAUUUCAAUUGAUUAGAGAUGAGAUGAGGUAUAAUUUGAAAUUGAAAUUUUAAAUGUAGAGGGACUAAAUUGAUGUAUUUUCAUAUUUUAGGGACUAAGAGACUAAAUGUUGAAUGGAAUAGUAAUUUAGUGACCUUUUAGUUGAUUAUAAUAGUUUAAGGACUUAAUUGCUGAGAUAGUGAUAGUGUUGUGAAUUCGGACUCAAAAUCACACCAAUACAAACUAUGAUGUGUGGAGCAAAGGAAAAUAGUAACAAAAAUCAAAGUGAACACAAGCAACGACAAUAAUGACAACACCUAGAUCAAAUCUAGUAAUCAAAGUGAAAAGCUCAAAACCACAAGCAAAAGAUAAGGAGAGAAGAGAGAAACAAACACACCAAAGAUUGUUGACCCAGUUCGGUCCAACUUGACCUAUUUUGGGGGAUAGAUUUAUCUCUUCAAUCCACUAUCAAUGAGUUCUUACAAAGUGAUACAAAUGUGUUACAAUAAAUUAGCUUAAACAAGCUCACAAAGAACAACCCUAAUUUCUACCCAUUUUCCCAAUCUCACAAAUGAACAAGACACUCAAUGAUUUUCGCUCACCCAAGGUGUUUACAAUGUUUCCCAACCCAAGAGAACUCUAAUCAAAGACCCUCAACCCUAAAGUUACCUCCUUUGAUUUCCCAAGUUUUCCUCUCUUGAAGUUCUCUCUCUUCUUCCUUCAAAAAUGAGCUGAAACACUUAAAUAGUACAAAGUGACAGACAAAAUCGCGCCGCGCUAGUGAAAAUCGCACCACGGUUGAAGCGUACGACCCAAGGCACGACAACCUUAUCCACAAAUUGCGUCACGCCUGCACAAAAUCGCGCCACGAUUUGCUUUAGUAAAAACCAUCCAUUCUGCCAGCAAAAUCGCGCCACGCCUUUGAAAAUCGCGCCACGAUUUUCAGCUUUCACAACAUCACAAUUUGAAGACAAUUUCAACAGUUAGAAAUUAAAUUGACCGUUUUUUCUGUUUGUUUUAUUGUCAAAUAAAAAUAUGAAUUUUUUUUUCCUUCAUAAAAAAUUAUGUAUUUGUUUCACAAGGAUAACUUUAUAAUUUAAAUAGAAUAUAUUUUUUUAUCAUGUCAAUAGCACGUGUGCACCAAACGCAGGAUAGGAUAAAAUAACACUAUCAUCUUUUUUUUCUUCAAGUGUGCACCAAACGCAUGAUAUGAUAAUGGUUAUCCUGUCACUAUCAUUGCCCAUCCUCAUCCAACUUCUUAUCAUAUCAUGUCUAUAUUAUUGCGCACUAAAUAGGCCCUUAAUUCUUUUGCAUCAAAUUGAUCUAAAACACUCAGUAAAAUUUGAGAUAAAAAAAAUGAAAUUUGUGAUAAAUCUCCUAUGAGUGAUAAAGUUAAGGCGUCUCAAUUGAUUAGAUAAGAGAAGAUAUAUAACGUAUUCAAUUACAAAUUUUUAAAAGUUAGAGGACUAAUUUGUUAUUUUUUAUGAUAGUUUGAAGACUAAAUUGAUGUAUUUUUUAGUUUUGGGGACUACAAAUAGACAGCUUAACGGAAAACUUAAUUAGGUGGCUAUGGUUGGAUGGAAGAAUAGUUUAGAGCAAUGACAAAUGAACAAAAAAUAUUUGACACAAAUUCAACAUCAUGGAUAGUUUGGACAUUUCACUCAUAAAACAGGGACAGUUUUGUCAAAGCCUCACACUCCAAGGUCAGGAACUGUCUUCUUUCUCUCUCUGUCCGCCAUUUUCAACAAAGGGCAGUAGGCCACCGCCAACACUUCACCGACCGUUUCUCCACCGACUGAGUGAUGAUCCUCCGUCAGACUUCGAUUCCUUCGUUGCUGAACGUCUCCGGCAGAUAGUAAUAGUGACUAAUGUCGAAAUCGGAAUGAAAAUCUAGGUCCGUUUUCGGUUAGUCAUUAAAUGCAGAUGUUAGUUAGAUUAUGAAUAUCUUUCAUUAUCUGAAUUCUAAUCUUGUGGAACUAAGAAAAAAUUCAUAAGGAGAAGAUGAUGUGGUUGGUGUGAGUUUUGAUGAAUCAAUGCUUGAUUGAUUGUAAUUAUUUAUUUUUAAGAAAAAUAAAAAAUAAAGAAAUAAAAUUGCAGAAGAACGAGUAUUUGUCAUGUCAGCGUGGGUGAUGGCAGUGGAGCAUUCCUUGGUGUUUUGUAUGACACUGGAAGUGGAGCAACAAUGGAGUGGUGCGAACGAAGGGAAAUGAAAAAGAAAAGAAAAAAUAGAAAGGAAAAUAGAGUAUAAAGUAACAGUGUAAACAAAUGGGAAAUACAUUAUAAUUAUAUAGUGGUGUCUGUAUUGUGUUUAAAAAAUUGUGUUCAUUUAUCAUUUUUGAAUGAGCUUAUGAUCAUUUUAGUUGAUUAUAGUAGCUUAGAGUCUAAAUUGAUGAUAGAGUGGAAGUUUAGUGACGAAAUUGAUUGUUUAUUAGAAGAAAAAAAACGUUUAAAAUUUUAUUAAAGAAGUAACUAAGAACAACAUUAAAAAUCUUUAAAAAAAAAAAAGAACAACAUUAAAAAAAAGCAUUAAAAGCCUUACAAACAUACAAAAAUUCCAAACAGUGCAAUCAAGAGGAUAUAAACCGAGGCACAUUCUCAUAUUAGUUUUUUUUUUUAGUUAGUCAUAUCUUAUAACAUUUUGUUGAAUUCUUCCAGCCCAGAUACAAAGUUAUUGACUACAAUGAAUAAUUUGUCAUUUUCGUUAUAAUCAGAAAAAAAAAAUUCAUUGAACAGCCAAAGACGGUGAGCACAAGAAAUCCAAAGAUCAGAGCGAAAAAGCAUAAACAUGAAAAUAAAACCCAUAGGCUUCAUGUAUUACUACAAUAGCCGCAAGAAAAGUGCUUGCAUAUCUGUGGUUUUUUAAUAGGAAAAUGUUAACAAGUGUUUGAGAAGCACUCUUUAAAAAUCAUAAUUAAUAAUUUUUUAUGGUACAUUCAAUGCAUUAUAUAAAUUGAAAUAAUCUCUUUUAAUAGUUCUAGCUUUUAACCGGCAGCCCAAGAAGUAUAAGAGAAAAUCAAAUUGUAUUACUAUUAGAAUAAUAAUGCAGAGGGAUAUUAGAAUAUUGUAGCAAAGUCUCGACGGUAUAGAAAAUAUUAUUGUUUCUACAACUUCUUUUUAAGAGAGUUUAUGAAGAUGAUAUUGGUACAACCAUUCAAUAACAAUUUUGUGACAUUUUAUUGGUAAAAACAACAUAGAAAAAAAAAAAAGACAAAAUAUGAAAAUAAUAUGAGUAUGAGAGAGUUGUAGAAAAGUUGUCACAAAAUAACCGAUGUUAUUUUUUUUUUGUGAACAAUGACACAUAGGCACAUGUUACACUGUUUACUCUUUCUUGUUCAGUUUUUUGACAUGGUCAUAUUCUAGUGAUAUGGGUCGCGGGUUUGGAGUCCAAGUUAUUGCUAUUCAAAUUUUUCAAUAUUCAAAAGCCUUCACAGUCAAAGCAAAACAAUAAACAUUUUAAUUCCACUCCUCUAUAUAAAUGAGUUAUGCCACCCCCUCCUUUCAUCAAAACACAUUAACAUAUCACAAUUUAAUUUCAUCAUAUCAUAUCAUAUCAUAUAGUUUGUGAGAAUUAAUAAACUCCUUCAAAGCACAACAACAGUUCAUAGAUUGAUAUUAGUUGAAUCAAACAAACAUACAUGGCUUUCUCUUAUAGUAGAAUAAUCCUCUUCAAAGUUCUUCUCUAUGUACUAAUCAUCUUCAACAUAUUCGUUACACCUCAAUCAGGAGGAGUAGAUUGCAGGCCAUUGUCAUUGAAUUAUUAUCAAUGGUCUUGGGAUCAUGGACUUAUUUUGCAAUCACUUCCAAAUGGUAAUGCACCUGGAUCAGGAGGAGGAGAUCCUACUCAUCCCUAAUUAAUUGGAAGAAGCUUUACAACGAAGAAAAUUAAUCUUCAUUUUUUUAUAUAUAUAGUUCGAUUAAUGACAUUAACUCUCAUGUGAAGUUCCACGUGUUAGUGGGCUAUAUAGUAUGGUAUUUUUUUUAGUUGCAUGUUUCACAAUCACAUGCAAUAUUUUUAGAUGGGUAUUUCUUAUAUUCUUGUAUAUAUUCACAUUCAAAUUCAAUUAUAUCACAGAUUAUACCUGAAAAAAUUUAGAUAUAUUCUUUUAAGUUGUAGUAUGUAAAUUUUGACUAAAAUCUAAAUAAACGACUCUUUCAAUUUGGUGCAUAAAUAUUGAUUUUAAAAGGGGUUUUGCUCCUUCAAAUGUGAUCGCUUCUUGUCAAUGAAUAUGUUGCCCAUGUUCAAAAUUGACUAGGUGUAUCCAUAUAUUUUUAAUUCCC